AAAGGCAUCCGUGCAACAGGUGUCCGCAUGCCAGCCAUGGGGAUGAAACGGGAACAAGGUGACUGCCAGCAAAUGCUUUUUGCGCUGCCGGCACAGGCCUUGGCUGCCCCCGCAACGGUAAACAAGUCAAGGCGCUCCAUGCCUGUCCCGCCAGUCUCCGCAACCCUGCGGAGGGGCGAUGACAGGCUGUCACUGGUUCAUGGCGUGGUCUGCAACAUGCAGCUUUUCGCGGGUGGAUUGGGAAGACGGGGCGCUGGGCGCAAGGCAUGUCCUUGCGCCGCUUGUGAGCCCGGAGACCGGCCUGCUGCGUUUCGCGCCU
This 319-nucleotide non-coding RNA is filed under the name Delftia acidovorans. Lineage: Bacteria; Pseudomonadati; Pseudomonadota; Betaproteobacteria; Burkholderiales; Comamonadaceae. The record is from RNAcentral. RNAcentral also lists the same sequence under 1 other name.